UUUCGGGGUACACGAGCGGCGAACGGGUGAGUAACACGUGGGUGAUCUGCCCUGCACUUCGGGAUAAGCCUGGGAAACUGGGUCUAAUACCGGAUAUGACCUCCUAUCGCAUGGUGGGUGGUGGAAAGAUUUAUCGGUGCAGGAUGGGCCCGCGGCCUAUCAGCUUGUUGGUGGGGUAAUGGCCUACCAAGGCGACGACGGGUAGCCGACCUGAGAGGGUGACCGGCCACACUGGGACUGAGACACGGCCCAGACUCCUACGGGAGGCAGCAGUGGGGAAUAUUGCACAAUGGGCGAAAGCCUGAUGCAGCGACGCCGCGUGAGGGAUGACGGCCUUCGGGUUGUAAACCUCUUUCAGCAGGGACGAAGCGCAAGUGACGGUACCUGCAGAAGAAGCACCGGCUAACUACGUGCCAGCAGCCGCGGUAAUACGUAGGGUGCAAGCGUUGUCCGGAAUUACUGGGCGUAAAGAGUUCGUAGGCGGUUUGUCGCGUCGUUUGUGAAAACCAGCAGCUCAACUGCUGGCUUGCAGGCGAUACGGGCAGACUUGAGUACUGCAGGGGAGACUGGAAUUCCUGGUGUAGCGGUGAAAUGCGCAGAUAUCAGGAGGAACACCGGUGGCGAAGGCGGGUCUCUGGGCAGUAACUGACGCUGAGGAACGAAAGCGUGGGUAGCGAACAGGAUUAGAUACCCUGGUAGUCCACGCCGUAAACGGUGGGCGCUAGGUGUGGGUUCCUUCCACGGAAUCCGUGCCGUAGCUAACGCAUUAAGCGCCCCGCCUGGGGAGUACGG
Molecule: ribosomal RNA, 792 nt
Filed under: Rhodococcus sp. MDMC195
Lineage: Bacteria; Bacillati; Actinomycetota; Actinomycetes; Mycobacteriales; Nocardiaceae
Description: bacterial SSU rRNA
Rfam family: Bacterial small subunit ribosomal RNA
Source: RNAcentral